This is an RNA transcript of Helicoverpa armigera (cotton bollworm), 9022 nucleotides long. It is a transcript of the gene named segment polarity protein dishevelled homolog DVL-3, with no coding region annotated. The record is from RefSeq and is a predicted model, not a curated record. NCBI's taxonomy places the organism in Eukaryota, Metazoa, Arthropoda, Insecta, Lepidoptera, Noctuidae. The transcript is spliced from 8 exons.
UGGUGCCGAAUAGCGGUACUAUAUUUAUCGCCAUAUUUGUGAUGGCGACCGAUAUUUAUAGAUCGUAAGGGUGUUGUUAUUCAAUAAAUAAAUGCAUUAAAAAUGGAGGAGACGAAAGUUAUUUAUUACAUAGACGAUGAAGAAACGCCGUACCUAGUGAAAAUACCUAUCUCACCGGAGAAAGUGACUUUGUUGGACUUCAAAAACCAGUUGAACCGACCGAACUAUAAGUUUUUCUUUAAAUCCAUGGACGAUGAUUUCGGUGUUGUUAAAGAGGAAAUUGUUGACGAUAACGCUCAUUUACCGUGUUUUAACGGUCGUGUAGUGUCGUGGCUAGUAUCUGCAGAGGGCUCGAACCCUUCGGACGGAGCUUCACAGUGUACUGAUAGCAAUGCAGGGAAAGGCAAACAAACUCACGGGGCUCCGGCGCCCGUCACCCGGGACACCUGCACGGACACAGACAGCACCAUCAGCUCCCGCCCCGGCCACAGAGCAUCCUGCGACAAGUAUAAAUACCGUGGGUUACGGAUAAACGGCCACUCAAAAUACGGUAACCAUGGGUUGGAAUACGAGACAGCUUCCGUGCUAAGUUCUGACUUAGACUCCACAAGUUUGUUCGACAGCCAGUCGGAAAUCACCACGACGACUGGGAGGCACACUAACGCCUCCGUAGACCGAGCCCUGACUGAAUGCAGCAGUGUUUCCCACCUGCAAGUGAGUUCUCGUAAAAGGCCACAGAGAAGACGAAAGAGACCUCAAGUCAUGUCCAGAACCUCUUCCUAUUCUUCUAUAACUGACUCUACGAUGUCUAUGCAUAUUAUAACGGUGACUCUGAACAUGGAUACUGUGAAUUUCCUGGGUAUAUCUAUAGUUGGCCAGUCAAAUAAGGGCGGAGAUGGAGGAAUAUAUGUUGGGAGUAUUAUGAAAGGAGGUGCCGUGGCCCUGGAUGGGAGGAUAGAGCCCGGAGACAUGAUAUUACAGGUGAACGACGUGAACUUCGAAGACAUGACGAAUGAUGAGGCGGUGCGCGUGCUCCGCGAGGUGGUGCAGAAGCCGGGGCCCAUCAAGCUGGUGGUCGCCAAGUGCUGGGACCCCAACCCUAAGGGGUACUUCACUAUUCCUAGGACGGAGCCUGUGAGGCCUAUUGAUCCAGGCGCGUGGGUAGCUCACACCCAAGCCCUACGCGAGGCGUACCCGCCGCCGCCCCCAUCGCUCUCCGCCCUCCCUGUCUCCUCAGUAUCGGAGCGCGGGGCUUCGGACGCGUCGACGCUGCCGGCGGGAGCGUUGGAGCCCCAGCUCUCUGUCAACAUGGACAUGGCUAUCGUAGUUAGGGCUAUGCUGAGGCCUGAGUCGGGCCUAGAAAUCCGCGACCGCAUGUGGCUCAAAAUCACAAUACCGAACGCGUUCAUCGGCGCCGACGUGGUGGACUGGAUCCUGCAGCACGUCGCCGGCAUCGCGGACCGACGCGACGCCAGGAAGUACGCCUCGCACAUGCUCAAGGCGGGCUUCAUCCGUCACACGGUGAACAAGAUAACGUUCUCGGAGCAGUGCUACUACGUGGCGGGCGAGCUGUGUGCGCAGCUGGCGGCGCUGCGCCUGCGCGGGACCGACGCCGACAGUGUGCUCAGUGACACGCUCGCGCCGCUGCCUAACCCCAACAUAAUGGGUCCCGGCUACAUGCCGUACGCAGGCUCGUACGGCUACCAGCCGAUACCCUUCAAGUACUCCUCCUGCGUCAACAGCGAACACACUGUAUAUGGCUACAACCGCGAGGAGAGCGUGGUGUCGGGCAGCGGGGGCUCCAGCGGCGGCUCCGAGCGCCUCACGGCCAAGGAGCGGGAGCCCGAGCGCAAGUCCACCUCCUCCUCCUCCUCCGCCGCGCCCGAGCCCGUGCCCGAGCCGGACCGGCCCGUGCUCUUCCUAUAACGGUGUGUAUCUACUGUAGCAGCGCCAGUCCACCUCCUCCUCCUCCUCCGCCGCGCCCGAGCCCGUGCCCGAGCCGGACCGGCCCGUGCUCUUCCUAUAACGGUGUGUAUCUACUGUAGCAGCGCCAGUCCACCUCCUCCUCCUCCUCCGCCGCGCCCGAGCCCGUGCCCGAGCCGGACCGGCCCGUGCUCUUCCUAUAACGGUGUGUAUCUACUGUAGCAGCGCCAGUCCACCUCCUCCUCCUCCUCCGCCGCGCCCGAGCCCGUGCCCGAGCCGGACCGGCCCGUGCUCUUCCUAUAACGGUGUGUAUCUACUGUAGCAGCGCCAGUCCACCUCCUCCUCCUCCUCCGCCGCGCCCGAGCCCGUGCCCGAGCCGGACCGGCCCGUGCUCUUCCUAUAACGGUGUGUAUCUACUGUAGCAGCGCCAGUCCACCUCCUCCUCCUCCUCCGCCGCGCCCGAGCCCGUGCCCGAGCCGGACCGGCCCGUGCUCUUCCUAUAACGGUGUGUAUCUACUGUAGCAGCGCCAGUCCACCUCCUCCUCCUCCUCCGCCGCGCCCGAGCCCGUGCCCGAGCCGGACCGGCCCGUGCUCUUCCUAUAACGGAGCGUAUUUUGAGGUGUGCCCUCUGAAAACUGCCAAAAAUCGUGACGUAUAUAAUAUAUUAUAUUAUUCGAUACGUCUUAGAGGAUGCGGCUGACUUCUGACGCAGCUGGGUAAAGAAGGUAUUUAAAACGGUACUAUAGGCAUUUUUGAUUAAUUUAUUGUUGAAUAAAAUUAAUAUUUUGAUAAAAUAUGACGGUUUUUGUGUAUAGAAAUAUGUAUGCAAAUGUGUUAUUUUCAGAUUUUUAAACUUGUAUUGCAAGUUUUUAAUUAUUAACCGACUUCUCAAAAAGAAGGUUGUCAAUUUUUAUUUAUAAAAUCGGUAAAUUGUCUGAAUCAAUAAUAAUUUCACUAGUAUCAAAAAAAAAAUAUGAAUAAAUUGUAUACAUAUUUUUAUACACAAUUACUGAAAUAUAUCCGCCAUAACUGCACAAUUGUUUCAAAAACGACUUCCAUUUUUGAAGUCUGGAAGUCGAUGUUUAAAACCACUAAAUUAUACUACUACAAUGCAAUAGUGUUAACAAUAUGAAGUCAUUGUCGAAAAACGACUUCAAAUUUUUUUGAAGUCUGGAAGUCGAUGUCUAAAACCCCUAAAUUAUACUCUAACCUACUGUAAUAGUGUUAACAAUAUGAAGUCGUUGUCGGAAAACGACUUCAAAUUUUUUUGGAAGUCUGGAAGUCGGCGGCCAGUCGCAGCCCACGGUAAAGCUAAUCAUGAUACUAGAUCGCCAUAUAAUUUUAGUCUUAUGUAUAUUAUUAGUUUAAGUGUAAAUAUCUAAUUGUAACACCCUAUAUAUAAACUUAAAAACUAAAAUAAUACACUUUUUAGAGAUAUGAACGUAGGAAAACCACCCUGUAUUUUUUCUAUUUUACCCGAUUGUGGAAUCAAACAGAUGGUUAUGCUUUACUAUAGGUAUUAAUAUUACAAAACUGAAGAGUUUGUUUGAACCCGCUAGAUUCUGAAACUACUAAACCGUUUUGAAAAAUUCUUCCAGUGUUAGAUAGCCUAUUUAUCCAGGAAAGCAUGGCACUUUUUUAUCUAGUAACAUAAAAAAGAGGACACAUCUUUUUAUUUGUAUUAAAGGCUCCAAACUACUGAAACAAUUUGAAAAUUCUUUCACUGUUGAGGCGCUACACUCUUCCCGAGUAACAUAGGCUAUAUUUUAUCCCGGUACGGUCAGUAGUUCCCACGGGACGCGGGUGAAACCGCCGGGAAUCGGUUAGUUUUACAUAUAAAAAAUCGACUAAAUAAUUUCUCAAUAAUAUCAAAAUUGAUAGUUUCAGAGAUCAAUAUUACAUACGUACAAACUGUGAAAAUAUUAAAAUUUCAAAACGACGGCCAUAUUAAUUUAAGUUUUAUUAUGCCUAAGUUCACCUACAACGUAAAUAUCCGAUUUUCUUAUAAUAACUGUUUUUCUUUCAAAAUUGUUGUUUUAAGAAAAAUUACGCUUAUGUCGUAAGUGAAAAUGGGAAUUAAAAUUGCAAAUCCUCGUUCUUAUCUCUAAAAAGUGUAAUAAUAAUUAAAUAAAAAAUGAUAAAACUACGCUAAGUAAUAUAUUAAUAUAGUUGCACCAUUUUAAUAUAACGAUGACCGAACCAUUUUCAGUUGUCACAUCGCCAAUUUGUCGUAAGUACGGCUGGUUAUGGUUUGGUUAUCGUUAUAGUUAAAUAGUGUAACUGGGUUAGUGUCAUUUAUUAUAAACAAAUUGGCACUAAACACACUUUGAUUCUAUUGGUCGAAAAUUGUAUUGUUGACUUUCUAACCCAGUGAGAAUGAUAUAGUCAGACAUAUUUUUUUAAUGUGUUAAGACUAUAUACUCUAUUUGAGUCGGCACUAAAAUAAAGGUAAAAAUCUUGAUAGGAUAUUACACAAACAAACAUCUUUGGCAGUCAUUACGGGUAGUCAGAAGCCAGUAAGUCUGACACCAGUCUAACCAAGGGGUAUUGGGUUGCCUGGGUAACUGGUUUGAGGAGAUCAGAUAGGCAGUCGCUCCUUGUGACACACUGGUACUCAGCUGAAUCCGGUUAGACUGGAAGCCAACCACAACAUAGUUGGGAAAAGGCUCGACAGAUGAUAACAUAUUCAACAAUAUAAACUACUGCUUACAAUAAUGAUACAAUUGAUACAAUUGAAGUAAUUGUUAUUAUUGUAUUUACAUUUAUUUUUUUCAGCAUUUUAUUGUUAAAUAAAAAGGUGUAUUAAGAUUGGUUACCUUUAGUUGAUAGCCUACUCAAAUGGAGUAUACAUAGUAAUUUACAUAAAAAAAUAGUUUUUUUUUACUUUUGACAGCUGUCAAAAUGUCAUUGCAUCUCUGUCUAUUGUACUAUGUGAGAGCGAGAUGGCAAUACAUUGAAUUGACCAAUAGGAUUAGAGUGAAAGUAUGAGAUUUUCGGCCAUAAGCCAACGUUAUAUGUAUGUAUUUAAAUAUGAAAUUAAUUGUGCUUCUAUGGUUGUACUAGAAGGAAUGACGUUUUUUUGUUUAAAUACCUAUUUUAUUGCAAUGUGUAAACUUUUUUUGUUCACGUUCAAACAUAAAUACGUACAAACAAUUCAUAUUCAACCGACUUCCCAAAAAGAGGUUCUUAGUUCGGAUCUUUUUUUUAUGUUACUAAGAAGAGAAGAAACGGUUUUCCCAAAUAUUUUUGAAGUCAGUCAGAAGUAUUACUAACUAUUGAAAAAUCGACUUUAAAACAACAAAAAUAAAUAUUACACAUUGCAGUAGAAUUAUUUUACAAAUAUUGUUUCAAACUGGUUCUUUUAUGACCGUCGCGACUAACAGCCCUUCCCAAUAUUCUGUCUAUCUGUUAUUUUGCAUACAUACAGUGUGCAUAUGUUACUGUAAAAACCCGAACUACGGUAAAUCCUAAAGUUUACCGACAUGAGUUGGUAAAUGUAAGAAUUAAUUAUAAAGUUACGAUUUUUUUCGGACUUCUACCAUUUCAAUUCAAUACAAGCUAGGUUUUUCCUCCACAUCUACAUCCCCAAUACUUUUAUUAAUACAACUUCAAAAUAAAAAUUAUUUAAAUAGUUAGAAUUUUGCGUAAGUUUUUGACUAAUGGUUGGUCAUUGUUUUAUUCCUAAAACCAAUAUUUACCAGUCCACAUUGGUAAAACCUAGCAUGUACUGAAUUAGAACAGAAAUAGUCCGAAAAAAUCCUACCUUUAUCUAUACUAAUAUUAUAAAGCUGAAGAGUUUGUUUGUUUGUUUGAACGCGCUAAUCUCAGGAACUACUAGUGCGAUUUGAAAAAUUCUUUCAGUGUUAGAUAGCCCAUUUAUCUAGGAAGGCUAUAGGCUACUUUUUAUCCGGGUUCGUGCAGAGGUUUCCACGGGAUGCGGGUGAAACCGCUGGCAGAAGCUAGUAAUAAAUACUUAACAUAUACCAACUCAUGUCGGUAAAUCUUAGGUUUUACUGGAAAAGCUUAGGAUUUAUCAUAGUUCGGGUUUUUACAGUAACCCAUAUACACCAACACACAUUUAGUAUGUUCUCACACGCGUUCGUGAAAUCAAGCAUCUAUACUAUAAUAUUAGUUCGCGACGGUCAAACAGUUAAUGUUUGAAUGUGUGUUAAUAUUCAGAGAUUGGUAGAAUAUAUUUACUUUCUGCUGCAAGGAAUUUAUUAUGAAAUCUUGAAUGGAUGAUAAAUAUUAGAAAAGUCCAAUCAAUGUCCGAUUCAAUGUUUUUUUUUGUAUAGUUAUCGGCACGAAUCUUGAGCUCUGACCUUCACCUGCUCAUAAGUAAUUUAUUGUGUCCUUUUUGUGGUAUGAAGUGAGGCGCGGGGGCGGGCUAAAGCGUUGAUUGGCCCGCAGCGCAUCGCGUCAUAGCCGUCACUCGGGAUUGGUUCUUUGCUAAUAAAUUACUUCUGCGCAGAUGAAGGGCUCAAGAUUCGUGCCGAUAAUUAUAAUAAUAUGCAUUCAUCUAAAAAAAUAUGAUUUUAGACAAUGAUUUCAAAUCAUCAUCCUUAGUCUUUCCCCAACUGUUUAGUCUUGUUUUACUCGUAAAAUCGUAUUAAUGAACUACUUGCAGUAAAAGUAAAUAUAUUUUACCAAUUUUUAACUACUGAUUUUUUUCUAAAUACGUACCAUUUUAUUUUUGUAAUAACGAAUAAGAUUUGACCAUGGAGAACAAAAUGACUAGCGGUGAUGUCAUAACGCAAUAUCUCCUAAGAAAAUAGCGCGACAACAUGCGGGGCGAGGGAGACGGGGAACGUUACUAGCGCAGCAUUAUUUACAAAAUGAAUUCACCAAUCAAUCGAAACCAAUCUUUGACAGAUUGGUUUUGAUUCGACAAGGAACCCGAACGCCUCGUUAGUUGUAGUAAGUGAUCCCGGCUACCGCACGUUGCUUGAGCUACAAGAAGGCGCCUGACCUGCCUGCCUUAUGGCAUCUCCGCUAUCUUUCCUUCCUCCGUGGUAGAACAUGUAUUUAGGGGCACAGAAGAAAAAGCAUUUGUAUACGUAGAUACAUUAGGAAUGUAAUAAAAUGAGGGUAAACGCAUACUGUACGUAAUUUAUUUAAAAAAUAACUGAAAAACCAUGUAAUCGAAAGAUUUUAAUAAAUUAUAUAUAAUAUUGUAUGUAUUGAUAACUUAGCUAUUUGUAGCCUUUACGGCCGGAAAUGAAGCUGUUGCGUUCGCUUGCGAUUUUUUUGUCGCUGCGUUUAGUCGCAGUUACAAAUCGCUGUCGCAACGCUUUUUACAGUAUUUAGAAAUGUUUUUUUUUUUAUUGUUGGCAACUAUUUUGUAUUGAAACUAUGUAAUUUUAAUCUCGCUUCUGUCUUUCCUACUAGGAAGUAGGGAGAACAAUUUUGUAUAUUUCAUUAAAUAAUUUAUUUGGACAUAUCAUAUAAAAAAUGUUUAUUGCUAAAAAUUUAGAACAAAAAUGUAUUUUUAACUAUUGAUUUUUUUAAAUCGACAAUGACGUUUUUUGCCCAGACUUACCAAAGCGAAAUGCUUUACCAGCCAAGAGAAAUUUUCCGCUAAUCCUACUAAUAUUAUAAACGCGAAAGUUUGUAUGUAUGGAUGUUUGUUACUCUUUCACGCAAAAACUACUGAAUGGAUUUUAAUGAAACUUUACAAUAAUAUAGCUUAUACAUCAGAAUAACACAUAGGCUACAAUUUGUAAACAUAUUGUUCGAAAUACUAAACCUGCGCAGACGAAGUCGCGGGCACCAGCUAGUAUAUCCUACUGAAUGGGCCGCGGCGCUAGUACACAAACCACCUUGUAAUAAAACGUGGUUUUUAGAAGUACCCGCUUUAGUAAUAGCUAUAGUCCACUGAUUUUGUUUGCGACGGUGGUUUAAAGGUGAUACAAAAGCUGGUACUUUUUUAAGACCACGUUUUAUAAUUAGGUGGAUAGGGCUUAAGAAGGAACAUGGCGGGUUUAGUCAGUAAGAGUCUGACACUCCCGAGCGCUACACACACAGCGGGGGCCGACAUUUGAUGAUUUCCCAUAAAAAGGGAUACUACUGAAUAUUGAAAUAACGAAAUUAUUUAAAUACUUUUUUGGUUGAGUCUGGGCCUAAAACGUCAAAUUACAAAGUUUUUUUAAAUAAAUGUAAACUUGAGCGAACUUUUUGCGAUUCAUAUUAUAAUUUUAGAGUCAUUUUUAUCAGUUUGACAGUCACAAUAUGAACAUAGGUGCGAAAAAUGUCUAAUACUCUGAUUGAAGCAUUUAUUUUGAAGUUUAUAUUGGCAAAAAUAGCAAUGCAAUAAAUUUUACUGUUUUCUACGGUUUCACUCGCAUCAAUUCAACUUUAUGCUGAAAUUAAUUCAUAAUGAUAAGGAUUACCAACAUAAAACUAUAUAAUAUACAAACCUUACUCAGUAAUCCCUCGAUCUAUUGGCGGGAACAGCAUCAAAAUCAGCUUAGCAGUUUGAGGUGAUUGCAAAUAAACACAGACUUUGUAGUUGGCUAUUUCUGUCAAUAUAAAAUAUUAUAUUGAUUAAAUACGUAUUUAAUCGUUUUGGCAGCUUAUUGAACAAAAUGCAGUUAAUAAGAAAAAAGAUACGAGUUUGAUAUCAAAGUUUUCAGAGAUUUUUGAAUUGAAAAUAUUUAUAUAUAAGUACCUACAUAUGCCAAAAUUCUGGAGCACAUUGUUAUAGAUAGACAAUAGCAUAACAUACUUAAUUAAAUAUAUUUAAAAAAUCGACAACUGCAUGCAACAUUUUUAUUUAUUAUUUAAAAAUAUUUUCAAUAAAAAAAUCGCUCAAAAUUAUAGAUUUUCAACUCAGAAAAUACUGCCAAAGGUGUCAGUUUCUAACCGACUUCCCAAAAAGGAGGUUCUCAAUUUGGUUGUUUGUAUGUUUUUAAGUGAAUAUGGUUCAAAAACAUUUAGUUGUGAUAUCGGCAGCCUGAGUUUAUAUUUCUUUACAACUAUUUCGUGUAUAUUAUUAAAAUAUAAUAGCAAUGAUUAUUAUUUUUAUAUUAUUAUUAUUUGGAAGGAGCUAUUUAAUGUUCACAAUGUGUAAUUUGAAUAAAAGAUAGCAUUUUGUAAGUGA